CCCCUAGUAACUGCGAGUGAAGCGGGAAAAGCUCAAAUUUAAAAUCUGGCGGUCUCUGACUGUCCGAGUUGUAAUCUAGAGAAGCGUUAUCCGCGCUGGACCGUGUACAAGUCUCCUGGAAUGGAGCGUCAUAGAGGGUGAGAAUCCCGUCUUUGACACGGACUGCCAGGGCUUUGUGAUGCGCUCUCAAAGAGUCGAGUUGUUUGGGAAUGCAGCUCAAAAUGGGUGGUAAAUUCCAUCUAAAGCUAAAUAUUGGCGAGAGACCGAUAGCGAACAAGUACCGUGAGGGAAAGAUGAAAAGAACUUUGGAAAGAGAGUUAAACAGUACGUGAAAUUGCUGAAAGGGAAACGCUUGAAGUCAGUCGCGUUGGCCAGGGAUCAACCUUGCUUUUGCUUGGUGCACUUUCUGGUUGACGGGUCAGCAUCAAUUUUGACUAUUGGAAAAAGGUCAAGGGAAUGUGGCAUCUUCGGAUGUGUUAUAGCCCUUGGUUGCAUACAAUGGUUGGGAUUGAGGAACUCAGCACGCCGCAAGGCCGGGUUUUAACCACGUACGUGCUUAGGAUGCUGGCAAAAUGGCUUUAAUCGACCCGUCUUGAAACACGGACCAAGGAGUCUAACAUGCCUGCGAGUGUUUGGGUGGAAAACCCGAGCGCGUAAUGAAAGUGAAAGUUGAGAUCCCUGUCGUGGGGAGCAUCGACGCCCGGACCAGACCUUUUGUGACGGUUCCGCGGUAGAGCAUGUAUGUUGGGACCCGAAAGAUGGUGAACUAUGCCUGAAUAGGGUGAAGCCAGAGGAAACUCUGGUGGAGGCUCGUAGCGAUUCUGACGUGCAAAUCGAUCGUCAAAUUUGGGUAUAGGGGCGAAAGACUAAUCGA
This 874-nucleotide ribosomal RNA is filed under the name Thaxterogaster cremeolina. RNAcentral's name for it is "eukaryotic LSU rRNA". It matches the Rfam family "Eukaryotic large subunit ribosomal RNA", at positions 77 to 938 of the family's 3401-position model. The record is from RNAcentral. Lineage: Eukaryota; Fungi; Basidiomycota; Agaricomycetes; Agaricales; Cortinariaceae.